GAACAUGUUCUACGUUUUAGUUGAAGAAAGACCUUUAACUUAUAAACUUAAUAAUAACAUAAAAAACUUUUAUAAUCAUAAAAAUAAUUCAGAUGUUCCUUCAACUUCUCCAACUUUUAGAUAACAAAAAAUCCAAAGCCCUUUCAAAAACCAAAACCCCUUUGCCUCCAUUCAAAACCUAAAUCCGCUUUGCAGAAGAAACCGUCGCUCAUCUAACCGCCGUCGUCCCCAACGACUGUCGACGCCAUCUAACCGCUGUCAUCCCCAUCGACUGUCGUCAUCCCCAUCGCUGCAAUCCGUCAUCCCCACCAAGCUACGCUCUAAUCCGCUGUUGUGUCGGCAUUCCUCUUUAGGUUGUCAUCUCCACCAAGCUCCGCUCCAAUCCGCCGUCCCCAUCCCCUCCCUCAGUACCAACGCCGGCCCCCUUCCCCUCUCUCAGCACCAACGACUGAUUAGGAAUGGUAUCCAGCUCGGAACCCGGAUCCGGGUCUGCUAAGCGUGGUAGAGGUAAACGCGGUCCUGCUAAGUGCAAGAACCUAAAACCGGAGGACAUGUACAUUGAGGUGAAUCAAAAUAAUCUACCGAUAGGUAAAAAAGGAAGAAGUUUUGAUUCUUGGCUUGGACUGGCAGCGAGAUCAACUUUUCCAGAAUAUUGGAUCUCGUCAAAGGACUUCGAUAAGCAAAAAUGGAAAGACUUUUGGUUGUAUGUUCAGAAAGAGUGGCAUCUUGAUGACAGUCUCGAGGAAAUUACCGUUACAAGAGCUAAAAAUAUGCGUACGGGUUAUAUCAGUAAGGAUCUUUGGAGGAAAUUCCAAAGGACAGGGGAAAAUCCUUGUCUCGAUAAAACUUUUUUUAAUCCAAAGAUGUGGGACACUUUCGUUGAAAUGAAGAAUACGGAGGAAGCUAAAGUAUGUGUUACUUAUUCUAUGUUAUUAUUAUUAUUAUUAUUAUUAUUAUUAUUAUUAUUAUUGUCGUAAAAGUACGACAGGUAUAUAUUUUAGAUUCACUAUUCAAAAAGGGCAACAAGAAUCCUAGCCGCUAUCUUCUUACAAGUGUGAUUGAAAGCGCCUUGCUGCCAAUAAAGCCCACAUUUGAUAUGGUUAAUUGCAAUCAACAAGCUGAGACAUGGGAAUGCGGCUAUAUACUUCUUCAAUCUAUGUUCGACUUUGUCAAUGUGUAUCAAAAGCAAUUUCCCAGAAUGUGGAACGACACUAAAGUGGCUACAGAUGAAGAUAUAGAAAAGACGUUGAAGGAAUUGAUGCCAAUUUUAUUUGAUGGGUUGAGCAUUCCUUAGUUUAAAUAUAGUUUGUUCGGGUUGAAUGUGUAUUGGGUCACUUUUUACUUGUCCAGAUUUGACUACGUUGAAUAUAUAAAAGGAUUGAUUGGAUUUGACGUC
Long non-coding RNA from Helianthus annuus (common sunflower), 1396 nucleotides. RefSeq lists it as uncharacterized. The record is from RefSeq and is a predicted model, not a curated record. Lineage: Eukaryota; Viridiplantae; Streptophyta; Magnoliopsida; Asterales; Asteraceae. The transcript has 5 exons.